GAUCAUGGCUCAGGAUGAACGCUGGCGGAGUGCCUAACACAUGCAAGUCGAGCGGCAGCGCGAGUAGUUUACUACUUGGCGGCGAGCGGCGGACGGCUGAGUAACGCGUGGGAACAUGCCCCAAAGUGAGGAAUAACUGCCCGAAAGGGUAGCUAAUGCCGCAUACGAUCUUCGGAUUAAAGGAUUUAUCCGCUUUGGGAGUGGCCUGCGUACGAUUAGAUAGUUGGUGAGGUAAUGGCUCACCAAGUCUACGAUCGUUAACUGGUUUGAGAGGAUGAUCAGUCAGACUGGAACUGAGACACGGUCCAGACUCCUACGGGAGGCAGCAGUGAGGAAUCUUCCACAAUGGACGAAAGUCUGAUGGAGCAACUCCGCGUGCAGGAUGAAGGCCUUCGGGUCGUAAACUGCUUUUAUGAGUGAAGAAUAUGACGGUAACUCAUGAAUAAGGGUCGGCUAACUACGUG
Molecule: ribosomal RNA, 464 nt
Filed under: uncultured bacterium
Lineage: Bacteria
Description: bacterial SSU rRNA
Rfam family: Bacterial small subunit ribosomal RNA
Source: RNAcentral